Molecule: ribosomal RNA, 216 nt
Filed under: uncultured bacterium
Lineage: Bacteria
Description: partial 16S ribosomal RNA
Rfam family: Bacterial small subunit ribosomal RNA
Source: RNAcentral
GUUCAGAUGUGAAAGACCCGGGGCGUCAACCUCCGGAAUAAGCAUUUGAAACUAGGCAGACUAGAGUACUGUAGAGGGGGGUAGGAAUUUCAGGUGUAGCGGUGAAAUAGCGUAGAGAUCUGAAGGAAUACCGGUGGCGAAGGCGGCCCCCUCGGACAGAUACUGACACUCAGAUGCGAAAGCGUGGGGAGCAAACAGGAUUAGAUACCCUGGUAG